GUUGGGCACUCUAGCGAGACUGCCGGUAAUAAACCGGAGGAAGUGGGGAUGACGUCAAAUCAUCAUGCCCCUUAUGACCUGGGCUACACACGUGCUACAAUGGUUGGUACAACGAGUUGCGAGUCGGUGACGGCGAGCUAAUCUCUUAAAGCCAAUCUCAGUUCGGAUUGUAGGCUGCAACUCGCCUACAUGAAGUCGGAAUCGCUAGUAAUCGCGGAUCAGCACGCCGCGGUGAAUACGUUCCCGGGCCUU
RNAcentral lists this ribosomal RNA (252 nucleotides) under uncultured Streptococcus sp. Its description in RNAcentral is "partial 16S ribosomal RNA". It matches the Rfam family "Bacterial small subunit ribosomal RNA", at positions 1130 to 1382 of the family's 1533-position model. The record is from RNAcentral. Lineage: Bacteria; Bacillati; Bacillota; Bacilli; Lactobacillales; Streptococcaceae.